AACUAAUGAACUUGAAUAAGUAUAUAUUUUGAAAAUAUAUUAAAGAAACAUGAAUUUCUAUUAGUUU
RNAcentral lists this transfer RNA (67 nucleotides) under Stenomorpha obovata. RNAcentral's name for it is "tRNA-Ser". Lineage: Eukaryota; Metazoa; Arthropoda; Insecta; Coleoptera; Tenebrionidae. The record is from RNAcentral.